UACGGGGGGAGCAAGCGUUGUUCGGAUUUACUGGGCGUAAAGGGCGCGUAGGCGGCCACCGCAAGUCAAUUGUGAAAUCUCCGGGCUUAACUCGGAAAGGUCAACUGAUACUGCGGGGCUAGAGUGCGGAAGGGGCAACUGGAAUUCUCGGUGUAGCGGUGAAAUGCGCAGAUAUCAGGAAGAACACCCGUGGCGAAAGCGGCUCUCUGGAACGGUACUGACGCUGAGACGCGAAAGCGUGGGGAGCGAACAGG
Molecule: ribosomal RNA, 254 nt
Filed under: uncultured bacterium
Lineage: Bacteria
Description: partial 16S ribosomal RNA
Rfam family: Bacterial small subunit ribosomal RNA
Source: RNAcentral